UUUCCGUAGGUGAACCUGUGGAAGGAUCAUUCAUAAUAAAGUGUUUUAUGGCACUUUUUAAAAAUCCAUAUCCACCUUGUGUGCAAUGUUAGAUCUCGUCAAUCUUGGCGAGAUUUUUAUACAUCAACUCAUUCUUUAACUAAUUUGUCUGAAAAAUAUUAUGAAUACUUAAUUCAAAAUACAACUUUCAACAACGGAUCUCUUGGCUCUC
RNAcentral lists this unclassified non-coding RNA (211 nucleotides) under plant metagenome. Its description in RNAcentral is "partial contains small subunit ribosomal RNA, internal transcribed spacer 1, and 5.8S ribosomal RNA". The record is from RNAcentral.